AGCAGCCGCGGUAAUUCCAGCUCCAAUAGCGUAUAUUAAAGUUGUUGCAGUUAAAAAGCUCGUAGUUGAAUUUCGGGGUUAGUAGGUUGGUCAUGCCUCUGGUAUGUACUGGUCUCACUGAUUCCUCCUUCCUGAUGAACCGUAAUGCCAUUAAUUUGGUGUUGCGGGGAAACUGGACUGUUACUUUGAAAAAAUUAGAGUGUUUAAAGCAGGCUAACGCUUGAAUACAUUAGCAUGGAAUAAUGAAAUAGGACGUUCGAUCUUAUUUUGUUGGUUUCUAGGAUUGACGUAAUGAUUAAUAGGGAUAGUUGGGGGCAUUAGUAUUCAAUUGUCAGAGGUGAAAUUCUUGGAUUUAUUGAAGACUAACUACUGCGAAAGCAUUUGCCAAGGAUGUUUUCAUUAAUCAAGAACGAAAGUUAGGGGAUCGAAGACGAUCAGAUACCGUCGUAG
RNAcentral lists this ribosomal RNA (450 nucleotides) under uncultured Glomeromycotina. Its description in RNAcentral is "SSU rRNA". It matches the Rfam family "Eukaryotic small subunit ribosomal RNA", at positions 569 to 1023 of the family's 1831-position model. The record is from RNAcentral. Lineage: Eukaryota; Fungi; Glomeromycota.